AUUUAAAGAGGAUAUAAGUGAAAGAAGGUGUUGCUUUACUCUUGUAGAUGCUUAUUCCAUCGUAGUUUCUCACAAAGUCCCACUAGGAAAUCACAGUGGAAGACGUCUUACCAUCUUUUCUCUGGCAGUCACCACUAUUGCUGUAGCACAUGGAAAAGUCACCGCUUGUGUCAGUGAUAAUACUUUACUAGGCCAAGCAGUCCUGGCCUCUUUCAUGCUACAGAUGUCUUGGUUGUAAGCUGCCUCCAUGACUUGCUUUUUGUCACAAACAAGAGAGGAGAAAAGAAAGAAGAAAAAAGAAAAAAGAAAGAAGAAAAAAAGAAAGAAGAAAAAAGAAAGAAGAAAAAAGAAAUAUGAUAGGACAAAACAGCAAGA
Molecule: long non-coding RNA, 375 nt
Organism: Gallus gallus (chicken)
Lineage: Eukaryota; Metazoa; Chordata; Aves; Galliformes; Phasianidae
Source: Ensembl